UGGGUAACCUGCCUGUAAGACUGGGAUAACUCCGGGAAACCGGGGCUAAUACCGGAUGGUUGUUUGAACCGCAUGGUUCAAACGUAAAAGGUGGCUUCGGCUACCACUUACAGAUGGACCCGCGGCGCAUUAGCUAGUUGGUGAGGUAACGGCUCACCAAGGCAACGAUGCGUAGCCGACCUGAGAGGGUGAUCGGCCACACUGGGACUGAGACACGGCCCAGACUCCUACGGGAGGCAGCAGUAGGGAAUCUUCCGCAAUGGACGAAAGUCUGACGGAGCAACGCCGCGUGAGUGAUGAAGGUUUUCGGGUCGUAAAGCUUUUGUUGUUAGGGAAAAACAAGUACCCGUUCGAAUAGGGCGGUACCUUUGACCGUACCUAACCCAAAAAGCCCCGGGUUACUUACGUGCCCACAAGCCCGGGGUAAUCCUUAGGUGGGCAAGCGUUUGCCCGGAAAUUUUUUGGGCCUAAAAGGGCUCCCAAGGCGGGUUUUUUAAAUUUUAUUUAAAAGCCCCCGGUUUAACCCGGGGAGGGGUUUUUGGGAAAACUGGGGGAAUUUAUUUU
This 564-nucleotide ribosomal RNA is filed under the name uncultured Bacillus sp. RNAcentral describes it as "bacterial SSU rRNA". It matches the Rfam family "Bacterial small subunit ribosomal RNA", at positions 118 to 657 of the family's 1533-position model. The record is from RNAcentral. Lineage: Bacteria; Bacillati; Bacillota; Bacilli; Caryophanales; Bacillaceae.